AUUGAACGCUGGCGGCAUGCCUAACACAUGCAAGUCGAACGGCAGCGCGGGGGCAACCCUGGCGGCGAGUGGCGGACGGGUGAGGAAUGCAUAGGAAUCUGCCCGGUUGUGGGGGAUAACGCAGGGAAACUUACGCUAAUACCGCAUACGACCUUCGGGUGAAAGUGGGGGACCUUCGGGCCUCACGCGAUCGGAUGAGCCUAUGCCCGAUUAGCUAGUUGGCGGGGUAAGAGCCCACCAAGGCGACGAUCGGUAGCUGGUCUGAGAGGAUGAUCAGCCACACUGGGACUGAGACACGGCCCAGACUCCUACGGGAGGCAGCAGUGGGGAAUAUUGGACAAUGGGCGCAAGCCUGAUCCAGCAAUGCCGCGUGUGUGAAGAAGGCCUUCGGGUUGUAAAGCACUUUUGUUCGGGAAGAAAUCCGUGUGGUUAAUACCCGUACGGGAUGACGGUACCGAAAGAAUAAGCACCGGCUAACUUCGUG
Molecule: ribosomal RNA, 484 nt
Filed under: uncultured bacterium
Lineage: Bacteria
Description: partial 16S ribosomal RNA
Rfam family: Bacterial small subunit ribosomal RNA
Source: RNAcentral